RNAcentral lists this transfer RNA (73 nucleotides) under Ureibacillus thermosphaericus. Its description in RNAcentral is "tRNA-Ala". It matches the Rfam family "tRNA". From Rfam's summary of the family: Transfer RNA (tRNA) molecules are approximately 80 nucleotides in length. Lineage: Bacteria; Bacillati; Bacillota; Bacilli; Caryophanales; Caryophanaceae. RNAcentral also lists the same sequence under 4 other names. The record is from RNAcentral.
GGGGCAUUAGCACAGUUGGGAGUGCGCUACGCUGGCAGCGUAGAGGUCACCGGUUCGAGCCCGGUAUGCUCCA